UAGGGAAUCUUCCACAAUGGACGCAAGUCUGAUGGAGCAACGCCGCGUGAGUGAAGAAGGUUUUCGGACCGUAAAGCUCUGUUGUUGGUGAAGAAGGAUAGAGGUAAUAACUGGCCUUUAUUUGACGGUAAUCAACCAGAAAGUCACGGCUAACUACGUGCCAGCAGCCGCGGUAAUACGUAGGUGGCAAGCGUUGUCCGGAUUUAUUGGGCGUAAAGCGAGCGCAGGCGGAAGAAUAAGUCUGAUGUGAAAGCCCUCGGCUUAACCGAGGAAUUGCAUCGGAAACUGUUUUCUUGAGUGCAGAAAGA
RNAcentral lists this ribosomal RNA (308 nucleotides) under uncultured bacterium. RNAcentral describes it as "partial 16S ribosomal RNA". It matches the Rfam family "Bacterial small subunit ribosomal RNA", at positions 355 to 656 of the family's 1533-position model. The record is from RNAcentral.